This is an RNA transcript of Trifolium pratense (red clover), 860 nucleotides long. It is a transcript of the gene named bet1-like SNARE 1-2, with no coding region annotated. NCBI's taxonomy places the organism in Eukaryota, Viridiplantae, Streptophyta, Magnoliopsida, Fabales, Fabaceae. The record is from RefSeq and is a predicted model, not a curated record. The transcript has 6 exons.
UAUACCGUAGUUCUUCUUCUCCGUUACACAUCACCUUGUUAGAUCUCAAACGAAAAGAAACCUUCUCACCGUUUUCUCACCUUGUUUCUAAGCAUUCAAACAAGAUCUUUCACAUAAUCACUGAUUCUCACUGGAAUCGCAACUUUUUAUUUUACUCACCAAUGAGUUACAGAAGAGAUAAUCGGUCUUCUAAGUCAUCCCUUUUAGAUUUGGAUAGUCUGGAGGAGGGUGGUUUAAGGGCUUCUUCUUCUUACUCAUCUGAAAUAAAUGAGCAAGAUAAUGAUAAAGCCAUAGAUACUCUCCAUGACAGAGUUUCUUUUCUAAAACGAUUAACAGGUGAUAUACAUGAGGAGGUCGAGAGUCAUAACAAUAUGCUUGAUCGGGUGGGUAACAAAAUGGAUGGAUCAAGGGGUAUGAUGUUGGGAACCAUGGAUCGAUUCAAGAAGAAACUGAAUUUUGUAGGUUUUUGAGAAGAAAUCGACAAGGAAAACAUGCUCACUUGUGGGUUAUUUCACACUGGCCUUCAUAUUCUUAUACUAUCUUAUUAGGAUGCUUGGAUAUUUUACACUAGGAUGAAACCUGUUAUGUUAAAGAUGACUGGAUUGUGGGAUUGAUGUUUGGAAGCAAAACUCUGUUCCUAUGCUGUAAAAUGUUUGAACUAUUGGCAUGUGGUUUGAAACUCAAUUGUGAAUUUUGAUCCUUGAAAAUAACUGCAUAUAUGAAGCUUAACAUUAGUCCGUUGUUUACUUCCUCUCCUGACCUGGUCCUGUAUAAUUUUCAUAGUGGCCACUAUAGUCUUGAAUUCAUUUAUUAUGUAAAUUUUAGCAAUAUGAUAUUAUUUAUUUAUUUAUAUUUAUUUA